CCUACGGGUGGCAGCAGUGAGGAAUAUUGGUCAAUGGUCGGGAGACUGAACCAGCCAAGCCGCGUGAGGGAGGAAGGUACAGAGUAGCGUACACCUCUUUUGUCAGGGAACAAAUACUGGUACGCGUCCCCGGAUGAGUGUACCUGAAGAAAAAGCAUCCGCUAACUCCGUGCCAGCAGCCGCGGUAAUACGGAGGAUGCGAGCGUUAACUGGAUGUAUUGGGUUUAAAGGGUGCGCAGGCGGGCUGUUAAGUCCGGCGGGAAAGCCCCGGGCUCAAACCCGGCCCGCCCGUUGAAACUGGCAGUCUCGAGUUGGAGAGAAGUAUGCGGAAUGCGCGGUGUAGCGGUGAAAUGCAUAGAUAUCGCGCAGAACACCGGUGGCGAAGGCGGCAUGCCGGCUCCACACUGACGCUGAGGCACGAAAGCGUGGGUAGCGAACAGGAUUAGAUACCCCGGUAGUC
Molecule: ribosomal RNA, 460 nt
Filed under: uncultured bacterium
Lineage: Bacteria
Description: partial 16S ribosomal RNA
Rfam family: Bacterial small subunit ribosomal RNA
Source: RNAcentral